UACGGGGGGAGCAAGCGUUGUUCGGAUUUACUGGGCGUAAAGCGCACGUAGGCGGUUUGUUAAGUCAGGGGUGAAAUCCCGGAGCUCAACUCCGGAACUGCCUUUGAUACUGGCAAGCUAGAGUCCGGAAGAGGUAAGUGGAACUCCUAGUGUAGAGGUGGAAUUCGUAGAUAUUAGGAAGAACACCAGUGGCGAAGGCGGCUUACUGGUCCGGAACUGACGCUGAGGUGCGAAAGCGUGGGGAGCAAACAGG
RNAcentral lists this ribosomal RNA (253 nucleotides) under uncultured bacterium. Its description in RNAcentral is "partial 16S ribosomal RNA". It matches the Rfam family "Bacterial small subunit ribosomal RNA", at positions 524 to 776 of the family's 1533-position model. The record is from RNAcentral.